UGGCUGAGAUGGUAAAGAAUCUGCCUGCAAUGCAGGAGACCCAGGUUCAAUCCCUGG
This 57-nucleotide transfer RNA is filed under the name Bos taurus (domestic cattle). It matches the Rfam family "tRNA", at positions 8 to 63 of the family's 71-position model. From Rfam's summary of the family: Transfer RNA (tRNA) molecules are approximately 80 nucleotides in length. Their secondary structure includes four short double-helical elements and three loops (D, anti-codon, and T loops). Lineage: Eukaryota; Metazoa; Chordata; Mammalia; Artiodactyla; Bovidae. The record is from Rfam by way of RNAcentral. RNAcentral also lists the same sequence under 4 other names.